UUUAUCCCUUUGUGACUUAAAACAUGUAUAGAAUUAGUUCUGGACCUAAUUUUUAAAUUGUAUCACAUUAAGUGUAUUUAGAAAUUUUUUUCCUCUAAUUUUUUCUUUUAAUUUAGAGAGGGUUGUUUUUUCAUACUUUGUAAUGCACAUAAAUAUAUUUUGUCUUUGUAAUUGGAUAUUAAUUUUUCCUGCUACUGAAUUAUAAUAUUCAAAAUUGUAUUUGCUACAUAAAUACAUGUGUAUUUAUAUGUGUAUUAUAAGGCAAGCCAUCUGUUAUUUAAUUCCUUAUUGUAUAAUGAUAUGUGUUGUAACAGACUACUUUGAAAAUGAAUAUGUAACACAUAUACUGAUGGAAUAUUUUGAUAGUUCAGUAAACAAAUCAUCAUAGCUCC
Molecule: long non-coding RNA, 392 nt
Filed under: Bos taurus (domestic cattle)
Lineage: Eukaryota; Metazoa; Chordata; Mammalia; Artiodactyla; Bovidae
Description: long non-coding RNA NONBTAT020568
Source: RNAcentral